GUGAGAGGGGGCAGAUUUGCAUGAAGGGCGGUCUCAGCUCUGGAGUUUUAUAGGAGACUCAGAGGGUCCCAGCCAGGGACCCAUUUGUGUCAGGAAAUUGAACCAGUUUGGACUUGUCACCAUGGCCUGUGCCCUGCUCCUCCUGGCGCUGAUCACAUACUGUUCAGGGGUCUGGUCACAGCCUGUGGUGACUCAGGAGCCUGCGGUGUCCUCAGUGUCCCCAGGAGGGACUGUCACUCUGUCCUGCAGCCUGAGCACCGGAGCCAUCACCACCAGCAACUAUCCUGCCUGGUACCAGCAGAAACCUGGCUCUCCCCCUCGGCUGCUUAUAUACAACACCAACAACAGGCCCUCGGGGAUCCCCACCCGGUUCUCGGGGUCCAUAUCUGGUCAGAAGGCCGCCUUGACCAUCACGGGGGUUCAAUCUGACGAUGAUGCAGAUUAUUACUGUGCAGUGUGGGCUGGGAGUGCUCAGCACAGUGAUACAGUCAGAUGGGGAAGUGUGACAAAAUCUCUCAAUGCUCUGACUCCUCUGACUGGUGGAAAUAAUAGAAACAGAGAUUCAUAGAAAAUUAGGUUUGAAGGGGCCUCAGGAGUUAUCUAGUCCAACCCCUGCUCAACACUCUCCAACUAGGUCAUUCCAGCCAGCGCUUUGUUGAGCCAGGCCUUAAAAACCUCCAAGGAUGGAAAUCCCACCACCUCUCUAGGUAACUCCUCUUUCCACUGCACCAGUUUUCACAGCCUGCCCUGUACCUAGGACCACUAACUGCCUGGAGAGAGACAGCACCAGUAGCCUCCAUAUUUUCCCUCCAGGCCAACAGCCCCCUCUACACAGUUUCAUAGCUUCAUAGUAGGUAGGGCUAGAAGGGACCUUGACAAAUCAUCAGGUCCGACCCCCUGCCAUGGCAGAAAACAGCACUGGGGUCAAACGACCCCAGCAAGGUGUUCAUCCAGCCUCCUCUUAAAGACCCCCAGGGUAGGAGCCAGCACCACUUCUCUUGGAAGUUGGUUCCAGAUCCUAGCCGCCCUAACAGUGAAGUAGCGCCUCCUGAUGUCUAGUCUGAA
This is a non-coding RNA of Alligator mississippiensis (American alligator), 1065 nucleotides long. NCBI's taxonomy places the organism in Eukaryota, Metazoa, Chordata, Crocodylia, Alligatoridae. The record is from the annotation of a RefSeq genome assembly.